Long non-coding RNA from Fukomys damarensis (Damara mole-rat), 416 nucleotides. RefSeq lists it as uncharacterized. Lineage: Eukaryota; Metazoa; Chordata; Mammalia; Rodentia; Bathyergidae. The transcript is spliced from 4 exons. The record is from RefSeq and is a predicted model, not a curated record.
GGAAUUACAGGAAUGUGCCACCAUGUCCCAGCCAAGAGUGAAAAACUCAUUACAAGGAUACUUCAAAUGCUUUUGAUUAAGAAGUUGUAAGGAAGAUUUUUUUCUUAAGGAUUUGGAAACUGAUGUGCAGGAUUAGUUGAAAAAAGAGCUACCACUAGAUGGCACUUAAAAUCCAUGAGACCCAGAGAUACCGCAAUGGGACGCAAGAAGACCCAGGACAAGAACACAACUCAAGUUCUCAGAACAGUAUUAUCUAUUUGAUGGAGAAGAAAAGCAGGUCCAAGAUUAUCUCGAGAUGAUUGGAGGCAGAGGAACAAGACACAGUAUAAGAACACUAUGAUGCACAAAACAGCAGUGGAGUGUAACAACUGACUUCAGCAAUGUUGCAGUGGCUGACCAGUCUCAGUGGAUGUGGC